RNAcentral lists this ribosomal RNA (322 nucleotides) under uncultured Arthrobacter sp. RNAcentral describes it as "bacterial SSU rRNA". It matches the Rfam family "Bacterial small subunit ribosomal RNA", at positions 958 to 1280 of the family's 1533-position model. Lineage: Bacteria; Bacillati; Actinomycetota; Actinomycetes; Micrococcales; Micrococcaceae. The record is from RNAcentral.
AACGCGAAGAACCUUACCAAGGCUUGACAUGAACCGGAAAGACCUGGAAACAGGUGCCCCGCUUGCGGUCGGUUUACAGGUGGUGCAUGGUUGUCGUCAGCUCGUGUCGUGAGAUGUUGGGUUAAGUCCCGCAACGAGCGCAACCCUCGUUCUAUGUUGCCAGCGCGUUAUGGCGGGGACUCAUAGGAGACUGCCGGGGUCAACUCGGAGGAAGGUGGGGACGACGUCAAAUCAUCAUGCCCCUUAUGUCUUGGGCUUCACGCAUGCUACAAUGGCCGGUACAAAGGGUUGCGAUACUGUGAGGUGGAGCUAAUCCCAAAAA